CAGCAGCCGCGGUAAUACAGAGGGUGCGAGCGUUAAUCGGAUUUACUGGGCGUAAAGCGUGCGUAGGCGGCUUCUUAAGUCGGAUGUGAAAUCCCUGAGAUUAACUUAGGAAUUGCAUUCGAUACUGGGAAGCUAGAGUAUGGGAGAGGAUGGUAGAAUUCCAGGUGUAGCGGUGAAAUGCGUAGAGAUCUGGAGGAAUACCGAUGGCGAAGGCAGCCAUCUGGCCUAAUACUGACGCUGAGGUACGAAAGCAUGGGGAGCAAACAGGAUUAGAUACCCCUGUAGUCCCUGUCUCUUAUAC
This 301-nucleotide ribosomal RNA is filed under the name uncultured bacterium. Its description in RNAcentral is "partial 16S ribosomal RNA". It matches the Rfam family "Bacterial small subunit ribosomal RNA", at positions 509 to 807 of the family's 1533-position model. The record is from RNAcentral.